GAUGAACGCUGGCGGCGUGCUUAACACAUGCAAGUCGAACGGAAAGGCUCCUGCUUGCAGGGGUACUCGAGUGGCGAACGGGUGAGUAACACGUGGGUGAUCUGCCCAGCACUUCGGGAUAAGCCUGGGAAACUGGGUCUAAUACCGGAUAGGACGAUGGUUUGGAUGCCAUUGUGGAAAGUUUUUUCGGUGUGGGAUGAGCUCGCGGCCUAUCAGCUUGUUGGUGGGGUAAUGGCCUACCAAGGCGUCGACGGGUAGCCGGCCUGAGAGGGUGUGCGGCCACAUUGGGACUGAGAUACGGCCCAGACUCCUACGGGAGGCAGCAGUGGGGAAUAUUGCACAAUGGGCGCAAGCCUGAUGCAGCGACGCCGCGUGGGGGAUGACGGCCUUCGGGUUGUAAACUCCUUUCGCUAGGGACGAAGCGCAAGUGACGGUACCUGGAGAAGAAGCACCGGCUAACUACGUG
RNAcentral lists this ribosomal RNA (466 nucleotides) under uncultured bacterium. RNAcentral's name for it is "partial 16S ribosomal RNA". It matches the Rfam family "Bacterial small subunit ribosomal RNA", at positions 28 to 507 of the family's 1533-position model. The record is from RNAcentral.